Molecule: long non-coding RNA, 1064 nt
Filed under: Cricetulus griseus (Chinese hamster)
Lineage: Eukaryota; Metazoa; Chordata; Mammalia; Rodentia; Cricetidae
Description: lncRNA (ENSCGRG00000026104.1)
Source: RNAcentral
AUCUGAUACGUAACUCCAAAGAGGUUGUGACCCACAGGCUGAGAAUGCUGCUCUAGAGCCUCAUGAGGGUUUAGAGGUAGGACUGUGGUGCAACGAUCUGUCCUCCUCCGACUGCUGUCCUCAGCAAUCAGGCCACCACACCUUCUUACCUCUGCCCUAGGCCUGGAACAGCUGAGGAACCUGAGGCACCUGGAUGUGGCCUAUAACCUUCUAGAAGGUCACACUGAGUUGUCACCACUGUGGCUGCUGGCUGAGCUCCGUAAGCUCUAUCUGGAAGGUAACCCUUUGUGGUUCCACCCUGCACACCGUGCAAACACUGCUCAGUACUUGUCACCUCAGGCCAGAGACGCUGCUCAUGGUUUCUUGCUUGAUGGUGAGGUUUUGUCACUGAAGGAUCUUCAGCAGACUGCAGAAUCCUCAGGGCUUGGUCCCAUGGCCCAACCUCCGUCCUGGCCAGUGGGGAGUACCACUGAAACCUCAGGUGGCCCUGAGUUGAGUGAUAGCCUCUCCUCAGGGGGUAUUGUGGCCCAGGCCCCACUGCGUAAAGUUAAGGUAAGUGACUGUUUGUGCCUGGGCUUGGGUGAUCUCUUUACUGCUUUGUAGGUACUUGGUAGGCUAGCAGCAGUAAGGCCUUGUCCUUGUUAUUACUUGGCUCUUUCCAGUAGGUUAGGUAGGUGGCCAUGGAUGGCCAGGCUAAAGGCUCUGGCUUUCAUAGAACUCCAAUCUGUCUGUCCAAACUAGAGCCGAGUCCGUGUGAGGCGGGCUAGCAUCUCUGAGCCCAGUGACACAGACCCGGAGCUCCGAACUCUGGAUCCCUCCCCAGCUGGUAAGUUGACCCUCCCUGCUUACUCCCUUCCCACCUCCCUUCCAGUCUCUCUAAUCUUGAUGUUGCCUUGUAGGUGUCAUAGGAGAACUUGAUUUUGGGGUGGUAUGAAUUAUUGUGGAGGGCCCUUCAAUCCUUUUAUCUUUUUAGUUUAAAAAGGAGGGCCUGCUUCCAGGCAGCAUUCCCCUAAGGAACACAGAUUUCAUAGGGUGCUAAAGAUUGUAUAAUAAAGAGAUUUCAU